CGAACGAGUUUCAUGCGUACAACGUGAAAGGAUCGCCACGAUCGGAUAUCUUCGGGGACGAAGAACUGGUCCACCCACUGGGAAUUCCAGAUUUUUUUCCAUUGGUUAUCGAGCAGAGAGGAGCACGGGAAGCAUGCAUGGAUAUGAUCGAUUCGCAUCGAUUUCGAUUGAGAACGAUCCUUAUCGAGAAAUAUGCGAUUAUAGCGACAUCUAAGACAUUUUGGCGGUUUUACAUUAAGGUCACACGAGAAAGUGUUGUGUUAAUUUUUACGUUAUACAAGUGAAGAUUUUUAAUUAACAAUCAAAGAAAUACAUUUAAGCAAUUGUUUUUUUAGUGUUUUAAGUUUUUAUCCUGAUUUUUUCAAAAUUGUGUUGUAUGUAUAGUAUUUUGUUUGUGUACACUUUACAUAUUCUUUGUCUACGACUCAUUUUUCCAAAUCCAUAUUUUCAUUCUCUGCAUGUGUUUUAAAACAAACUGUUUUUUUCCUUUUACAUUACUGGAAUAAAAGCAAUGUUUGCUGUAAACAGUGCACGUACGACGAUAAAUUCGAACGUGUACGUAAAUACAAGGAUGUUAUGAAUAACAUGUUUCACAGGCAGUGUUAAGAGAAAUGGAAAAAGCUGUUCGAUGUUUAUUCGAUAACAAUUUAAUCCUCAGAUUAAAUAUCAAUUAUUCGACGAUCGAUUUCUAUCUCAUCCUUAGUCAUUCACAAGAUUCUAAACGCAUAGUAAUAGAUCAGCUAUAAUUCAAAUAACGUCUAAAUAACAUUUUAUCAGUAACAUAAUGUAAGUUUUUCAUCUUUUCUAAUUAAUUUUUAAGUAAUGAUUUUUCAUCCUUAACUUUUCUCAUUUUUCUUUAAUUCCAAACUAGAAUCUACGCAGUAUAUACGUGGGACAUCUCUAUAUACUUACGACAUCAGGAAAUUUACAUGCCACUUAUUUAGAAAUUAGCUGUAACUUGAUUAUAACAAAAGUGCAUAUGUUAACGAAGUACGAAAAGGGCAGAUCGCAGUGCACAGUCAGCGGCUAUUCUGUCUCGCUACUCCUCUUGUCGAGGUAAAAUUAGAGGUGGGCCGCUACGGCAAUUAUUAAAAUAGAAGAGUGACCGGUAGCUUCGAGUGGAAGCCUGACUCAUCCCGCUCGGAAAUGGAUAGAGUGCUCGCGAGGUGGAAAAUGCGCGAAAUCUAUUUGUCGACUGCGCCCCAGCACCAGCUGGACCCGAUCGAGAGAUUCGCACGAUGCUCGGGUCAUUGCCAUCACUCGUGCCGACAUCAAGUCUUCCUAUUAGCUGUUGUCAUUUGGCCCUGGACUCCAACGGAACAAAUCACCGUAAAAAUGUCGUAAUGUAUUCGUUAUCAGUUUCAUCUGAUUCUGAACGCAACCGUGUAGGACGUGACUGGAAUUUACGAAUGUCGGUGUGCGUAUGUUUAUUGAAGUGAAGCGUUACGUUCAAGGCGAGCACACCUUGAUCCUGGUAAGACGUUAUUGCAAAACUUGUUAAUCCCUCUCAGCUGGUAGAUUGAUUCGUAUACGAUGCAAAUAGAAUUUUUGAGAGACAAAAAGAAAAAAAAAAAAGAAAAUAGAUUUUAUCCUGAUUUAUGAAAAACUAGAUAUAUUUUUAUUUUUAUUUUUAAUUUUCUAUUCUUAAUUUUCUUCUAUUCUUCUAUUCUUCUAUUCUUAAUAGAAUUGAUUUUGGUAUACAAUAUUGUACGCGUCAUGGAGAGUUACUAACAGGAAUAAUUUUAACCCUCUUGUACAUCAACCAGACGAGUAAUCAGAUACCAACAAGCUUCGAAAGAACAAUGAGCGUCGUUUUAACCCCAACCUACCAGCUGAGGCUAAAGUUACUUUAAGCAUACUAUUACGUCCUUUUGCAGAUCUACGUCAAAAAGAGAUUUCCAUGUAAUCAAAGAAUAAGACGUUUCCUGUAUUCCUACUCCUUUUUGGAACAAAGUUUCAAGUUUAUCGGUCAGAUCUCUCUUCUACCUGAGACGAAGGUACAAAGGUUCGUGGACUAAUCUGCGUCUAUACCAGUCCAGCCAGGGUUUAGACCCUGAACGCUCCUAUUCAGGCUGGAAGAUUUGCGAACUGAAUAGCCGGUUUCUUCGAGGUAGAAUCGCGUGACGUCAUUUGUUUCUCCCCUGUCACGUUCUUUCUGCUUUCAACGCGCGUUCAAAGGAAAUGAGCGAUCUGUCCGCACGAAUUUGUUACGAGACCGGGCGCAGGUAAAAAUACAUUUGCAGCUGGAAAAUUAUUCUCACUUUCUUUGAAUCACUUUUAUAAGCAAGUAUUAACUCGUAUCGCUCUUUCCGUAUUUUCUUUCUCGAUCUCUUCGUAUUUUCUUUCUAGAUCUCUGUUUACCUUAACUAACACAGAGAUCGAAAUAGCAGGUAAUAAUCGUAAAACGAUCGGCGUGAAAGCACGCCGAUGAUUGCUCGCUUGUAUGAUCUCAUAUCGCGAUUUACCGCCGGUUACGUAAAUAAAACCAGAUGAAAACUCGUUACUGUGCUAAUUGAAUGGUGAUUGUGCAAUCUUCGUUUUAACUUCCUCUUUUAAAAAAAAAAAAAAAAAAGUAGUUCCUCUCGCAUUACAUUCCCAUCAAGAUAUAAUUAAAUAGCUAUACAACUAUCCAUUAAACAAUUUACAUUUCUAUCUCAUAAUAAAAUACCACCAUUAAUUUAUCAUUCAUCAACAUAUCUUUUUACAUUACGUUUUCUACAUUCUCUAUUACGCAGUUUCGAUCGUUGUAGGAAAAAAACCUUUUUAUCCUUUACAACAUGGAGCAUCUGGCGACCGAGGCAAAAGUUGC
Apis laboriosa (Himalayan honeybee) is the source of this 2809-nucleotide long non-coding RNA. RefSeq lists it as uncharacterized. The transcript is spliced from 3 exons. The record is from RefSeq and is a predicted model, not a curated record. NCBI's taxonomy places the organism in Eukaryota, Metazoa, Arthropoda, Insecta, Hymenoptera, Apidae.